RNAcentral lists this transfer RNA (86 nucleotides) under Nitrospirota bacterium. Its description in RNAcentral is "Nitrospirae bacterium tRNA-Ser". It matches the Rfam family "tRNA". From Rfam's summary of the family: Transfer RNA (tRNA) molecules are approximately 80 nucleotides in length. Their secondary structure includes four short double-helical elements and three loops (D, anti-codon, and T loops). RNAcentral also lists the same sequence under 1 other name. The record is from RNAcentral. Lineage: Bacteria; Pseudomonadati; Nitrospirota.
GGAGGAGUGGCCGAGUGGUCGAAGGCGACGGUCUUGAAAACCGUAGGGCGAAAGUCCCGUGGGUUCGAAUCCUACCUCCUCCGCCA